Molecule: transfer RNA, 63 nt
Filed under: Rattus norvegicus (Norway rat)
Lineage: Eukaryota; Metazoa; Chordata; Mammalia; Rodentia; Muridae
Rfam family: tRNA
About the family: Transfer RNA (tRNA) molecules are approximately 80 nucleotides in length.
Source: Rfam by way of RNAcentral
GGGGAUUUAGCUCAGUGGUAGAGUGUUUGCCUAGCAAGCACAAGGCCCUGGGUUCAGUCCCCA